AUGGAUACCCCUCUGGCUUUUCUCUGGAGAGGUGAAAUAGAGCUUCUGGAAGCGGAUGAUCUUUAUGGUUGCUGGCCAGCAACUAAGCACCACACAGCUACUUCCACUUCUCCCCUCUCCCUGCCACUGCCAUGAAGGGAAGAGAACUGGAAGGGUGAAAGUAUGAAAACUCUUGGGUUGAAAUAAAGGCAGUUUAAUAGGGAAAGCUAAAGCUGUG
Molecule: long non-coding RNA, 217 nt
Filed under: Cyanistes caeruleus (blue tit)
Lineage: Eukaryota; Metazoa; Chordata; Aves; Passeriformes; Paridae
Description: lncRNA (ENSCCEG00000013153.1)
Source: RNAcentral